GGUUAAGCGACUAAGCGUACACGGUGGAUGCCCUGGCAGUCAGAGGCGAUGAAGGACGUGCUAAUCUGCGAUAAGCGUCGGUAAGGUGAUAUGAACCGUUAUAACCGGCGAUUUCCGAAUGGGGAAACCCAGUGUGAUUCGUCACACUAUCAUUAACUGAAUCCAUAGGUUAAUGAGGCGAACCGGGGGAACUGAAACAUCUAAGUACCCCGAGGAAAAGAAAUCAACCGAGAUUCCCCCAGUAGCGGCGAGCGAACGGGGAGCAGCCCAGAGCCUGAAUCAGUGUGUGUGUUAGUGGAAGCGUCUGGAAAGGCGCGCGAUACAGGGUGACAGCCCCGUACACAAAAAUGCACAUAUUGUGAGCUCGAUGAGUAGGGCGGGACACGUGGUAUCCUGUCUGAAUAUGGGGGGCCCAUCCUCCAAGGCUAAAUACUCCUGACUGACCGAUAGUGAACCAGUACCGUGAGGGAAAGGCGAAAAGAACCCCGGCGAGGGGAGUGAAAAAGAACCUGAAACCGUGUACGUACAAGCAGUGGGAGCACGCUUAGGCGUGUGACUGCGUACCUUUUGUAUAAUGGGUCAGCGACUUAUAUUCUGUAGCAAGGUUAACCGAAUAGGGGAGCCGAAGGGAAACCGAGUCUUAACUGGGCGUUAAGUUGCAGGGUAUAGACCCGAAACCCGGUGAUCUAGCCAUGGGCAGGUUGAAGGUUGGGUAACACUAACUGGAGGACCGAACCGACUAAUGUUGAAAAAUUAGCGGAUGACUUGUGGCUGGGGGUGAAAGGCCAAUCAAACCGGGAGAUAGCUGGUUCUCCCCGAAAGCUAUUUAGGUAGCGCCUCGUGAAUUCAUCUCCGGGGGUAGAGCACUGUUUCGGCAAGGGGGUCAUCCCGACUUACCAACCCGAUGCAAACUGCGAAUACCGGAGAAUGUUAUCACGGGAGACACACGGCGGGUGCUAACGUCCGUCGUGAAGAGGGAAACAACCCAGACCGCCAGCUAAGGUCCC
This 1007-nucleotide ribosomal RNA is filed under the name Shigella sonnei. RNAcentral describes it as "partial 23S ribosomal RNA". It matches the Rfam family "Bacterial large subunit ribosomal RNA", at positions 1 to 1048 of the family's 2925-position model. The record is from RNAcentral. Lineage: Bacteria; Pseudomonadati; Pseudomonadota; Gammaproteobacteria; Enterobacterales; Enterobacteriaceae.